Non-coding RNA from Mycena polygramma, 93 nucleotides. The record is from the annotation of a GenBank genome assembly. NCBI's taxonomy places the organism in Eukaryota, Fungi, Basidiomycota, Agaricomycetes, Agaricales, Mycenaceae.
GGCCUCGUGGUGUAAUGGUAACACGCCCUCCUUCAAUAUCUGAUCCACAAUGCGAUUUGGAGAGAGUUCCCUGUUCGACUCAGGGCUAGGCCA